GGCCACACCAUGAAAACAACCUAUGCUCAGUGUCCUCUCCACAGUUACUGAAAACACUGAUUCUAGUCAUGGAAUGGAGCUGGGUCUUUCUCUUCCUCCUGUCAGUAACUGCAGGUGUCCAAUCCCAGGUUCAGCUGCAGCAGUCUGGGGCUGAGCUGGUGAAACCUGGGGCUUCAGUGAAGCUGUCCUGCAAGGCUUCUGGCUACACCUUCACCAGCUACUAUAUGGACUGGGUGAAGCAGAGACCUGGACAGGGCCUGGAAUGGAUUGGAAAUAUUUAUCCUGGAAAUGGUGGUACUGCCUACAAUGAGAAGUUCAAGGGCAAGGCCACACUGACUGCAGACACAUCCUCCAGCACAGCCUACAUGCAACUCAGCAGCCUGACAUCUGAGGACUCUGCAGUCUAUUACUGUGCAAGACACAGUGUUGUAACCACAUCCUGAGUGUGUCAGAAAACCUGGAGGAGAAGAAAGGUUCCCUGGGACUGAGAUGACAGAAAGAUCAAUCUUUAGACUUGCUUAGAAAUAGUAAUUUUGAAUGUCCAUUUAUUGCCUUCUCUUCACAGUCCUUUGUCAGCUUUGUAAACGUCCAUCUAUGAAUAAAGUGAUUCUGUUUGGAUAAACCUAAAGUUCUCCA
Molecule: non-coding RNA, 636 nt
Organism: Mastomys coucha (southern multimammate mouse)
Lineage: Eukaryota; Metazoa; Chordata; Mammalia; Rodentia; Muridae
Source: the annotation of a RefSeq genome assembly